UGAUUGUAAGACCCUGCUUUGAACUC
RNAcentral lists this non-coding RNA (26 nucleotides) under Homo sapiens (human). The record is from RNAcentral. Lineage: Eukaryota; Metazoa; Chordata; Mammalia; Primates; Hominidae.